Molecule: small RNA, 89 nt
Filed under: Nocardioides lianchengensis
Lineage: Bacteria; Bacillati; Actinomycetota; Actinomycetes; Propionibacteriales; Nocardioidaceae
Description: microRNA MIR1846
Source: RNAcentral
CCCCACUGCCCAGUCAGCAGAAGUGGAGGGCCGAGUCAGCACCAGUAGUGCUGACUCGGCCCUCGGUUUCUGCUGACUCGGCGAUCAGG